GACGAACGCUGGCGGCGUGCCUAACACAUGCAAGUCGAACGAAGAAUGUUUUUCGGAAUAUUCUUAGUGGCGGACGGGUGAGUAACGCGUGAACAAUCUGCCCCGUACAAAGGGAUAGCCUCGGGAAACCGGGAUUAAAACCAUAUAACGCUUUAGUACCGCAUGGUAAUAAAGUCAAAUCGAUUAAGAGGUAUGGGAUGAGUUCGCGUCUGAUUAGCUAGUUGGUGAGGUAAGGGCUCACCAAGGCGACGAUCAGUAGCCGGCCUGAGAGGGUGAACGGCCACACUGGAACUGAGACACGGUCCAGACUCCUACGGGAGGCAGCAGUGGGGAAUAUUGCACAAUGGAGGGAACUCUGAUGCAGCGACGCCGCGUGAGUGAAGAAGGUCUUCGGAUCGUAAAAACUCUGUCCUUGGUGAAGAAAAGGACGGUAGCCAAGGAGGAAGCCCGGCUAACUACGUGCCAGCAGCCGCGGUAAAAACGUGUAGUGUA
Molecule: ribosomal RNA, 492 nt
Filed under: uncultured bacterium
Lineage: Bacteria
Description: bacterial SSU rRNA
Rfam family: Bacterial small subunit ribosomal RNA
Source: RNAcentral